This 299-nucleotide unclassified non-coding RNA is filed under the name plant metagenome. Its description in RNAcentral is "partial contains 5.8S ribosomal RNA, internal transcribed spacer 2, and large subunit ribosomal RNA". The stretch from base 1 to 105 matches the Rfam family "5.8S ribosomal RNA", at positions 50 to 154 of the family's 154-position model. The record is from RNAcentral.
GAAAUGCGAUAAGUAAUGUGAAUUGCAGAAUUCAGUGAAUCAUCGAAUCUUUGAACGCACAUUGCGCCCCCUGGUAUUCCGGGGGGCAUGCCUGUUCGAGUGUCAUUUCACCACUCAAGCCUCGCUUGGUAUUGGGCGACGCGGUCCGCCGCGCGCCUCAAAUCGACCGGCUGGGUCUUUCGUCCCCUCAGCGUUGUGGAAACUAUUCGCUCAAGGGUGCCGCGGGAGGCCACGCCGUAAAACAACCCCAUUUCUAAGGUUGACCUCGGAUCAGGUAGGGAUACCCGCUGAACUUAAGC